GAACAUUUGGGGAGUUGCCAGGGAAACAAUGUAAAAUGUAGGAGAUAGAUAUUGGAAGCUUGUGCCUGAGCCCUUGAUAUUUGCACUCGAGGCUUCAUAUUGUAGUUAACGCUUCUCCAGCCAACCUGGAUGUGGUUCCCAUGGGAGCCUCUCAACACUGCUCCUUAACUGAGCACAAUGGGCGCUGCUGACCCCUGCAAAAACGGUAUACGCAUCCCCCAUGACUGAAGCCACUGCUUUUGCAGAACUCCCAUGCUGCCAACUCGCCACACAUUGUGAGCCACACAAGUGAAAAACCAAGCCUCAGACUGAACAAUGCAGAAAGCUACUUCUAGGCAACCACUGCAGUAUCAAGAAUUGGGCCCUGAUUCAGCAAGGUGCUUAAGUAUGUGCCUCACUUUAAGCAUGUGAGUAGUCUCAUUGACUUCAGUUGGACUCUCCACAAGCUUAAGUAUUUUGCUGAAUUUGGACCUAUAGCAGGAAGGUACUUUUCCCUUUUAAGGUUUGAAAAGAAAACAUCUUGUGCUCUGUCCAGAGUCUUAUCUGUGGUCAGAGCUGCUGCUGGGUAUUAUUUGAAUUUCAUUUACAGAAAAUAUAUCCUAGUGUUGGAAGAAAGUGUCCUUCGUUGAAGUGCCUGUGAGGGGCAUGGAUAAUGGCUCUGGCAGAAGGAUAAUUUUUAAUAAAAGAAUCUUCAUCUUGAAUAUUAACUACCCAUGGCUGAAGAUUAUAUUGGUCUAUGGCUAACACAGCAAUAUCUGCACUUGAAGCUACAGCGUUGACGGUUCUGAAGAGCUGCUGGUGUCUAGACUUUUAGAAGAAUGUUCUCUUAAGACUUCCAAAGAACUAGUGAUAUCCAGACUUUCUGAAGAAAUGGGUCUAUACCCUUCUGUAGAACUGAUGAUAUCCAAAGUUUUGGAAGAAUGGGUGCUAUAGCCUUUUGAACUGGCAUCUCUUAUGAUUAUCGCCUGCAUGGAUCCGAAUGUUAAUGGAACAAAGCCUUCACUGUCAGUUGUGAGAACAAUCCAGGUUGAACCUAUGAGGACAUUAAAAUAUCUAUUUAUUAACAAUA
This is a long non-coding RNA of Dermochelys coriacea (leatherback sea turtle), 1069 nucleotides long. RefSeq lists it as uncharacterized. The record is from RefSeq and is a predicted model, not a curated record. The transcript has 2 exons. Lineage: Eukaryota; Metazoa; Chordata; Testudines; Dermochelyidae.